AACAUUGAAUUGUUCCCUGUGGAGAUAUUUAAUCUUUUCUGUGUAGCUGUCCGCUUAGGAACAAAAAGAGAGGCAGCUUCUUGCAUGACUCAGCUUUCGGCUAAAUUGUUUUUCGUCUUGGCAGAGUGAAUUGGGGUCCCAAGUUUUUAUUUUCCUUCUUUCUUUCUUC
Long non-coding RNA from Sapajus apella (tufted capuchin), 169 nucleotides. RefSeq lists it as uncharacterized. The record is from RefSeq and is a predicted model, not a curated record. The transcript is spliced from 3 exons. Lineage: Eukaryota; Metazoa; Chordata; Mammalia; Primates; Cebidae.